RNAcentral lists this long non-coding RNA (1898 nucleotides) under Mytilus galloprovincialis (Mediterranean mussel). The record is from RNAcentral. Lineage: Eukaryota; Metazoa; Mollusca; Bivalvia; Mytilida; Mytilidae.
UCAUAUAAAGAUAGCUUUACUUAUAAACAAAUUUGGAAAUGGUUUCAAUAAAUAUGUAACAAAGCUAGGUAACUACAUAAAAGCUCUUUUUCAUUUUAAACACAAAACAGUUACAAGUACACUUAUAGUAUCUUUACACAUAGAAAUCUGUUACAAAUCAUUGAUCACUUCUGUCAUAGGACGUGUACACACUAAAUAACACUCCACCUAAAGCUCUGUGGAGUGGUACUAUGUAUUGAAUGGAAUUGAUAUUAACUUGUUAGGUACUGUUCUCUUUGUCACAUAUUUCCACAUGAUAUUGUUAACAGAAUGUGAAACAAGUAAUGAGGUAAAAUCAGGCUUGUGAGCAUUAUUCUCUUACUAAAUACUCUGAGGUACAAUGGUGAAUGUGGUUGAGGUUUGAUAGUGUGAUUGAAAUUAAUAUUAUGUACAUAAUGCACCAGGGAAAACUUUAUUAUUUUUUUAAACAUAUGUUUUUCAGUAGCCUGUGUAACAGACAGUAAUUUUGAUAUGAUCAGAGACGACUGAUUCUUAACAAUGGCAUUGAACAUAAAAUGUACUUGUAUUCUAUACUAAGCCUACAAUUAAGGAUAUGACAUUAGGUUAGCUAGAACAACAAUGUCUAUGUCUCUCUUUAUAGAUUAUAGUCAUUUUGUUUACUUAAUCAUAAUCACAACACUAAAUGAUUUGGUUGCAUGCUCCAGUGGCGGAUCCAGGGGGGGGGGGUUCCGGGGGUGCGCACCCCCCUUUAUUUUUGCCGAUCAAUGCAUUUGUAUCGGGACAUAUGUUUUGCACCCCCCCUUUGCCCUGGGUGCCCUGGGUUAGCACCCCCCCUUUCGAAAAUUCCUGCAUCCGCCCCUGUGCUCUAAUCCUUAAUAUAUUCAAGCAGAAACAAUGUAUUAUCUACAAUAGUGAGAGAAAAAAAAAUCAUCUUUAAAUACACUCUCUCUCUCUCCAUAUAUAUAUAAAAGGGAUUUCAUAUUCAUUAAAGGCAGAUAAUGAAACACAUUCAAAGCAAUAGCUAAGUUCUGGCAGAGAACAAAAAUAAGAAAAAGAAAACAAUAUUAAAUAUACCAAUAAGAGGUUUUCACACCUCAUGACUAGGUUAAUUAACCAUAAAUUGAAACUUUUACAAAUUCUUGUGCAUGGAAUAAAUUUUUCCACUGAAUAAUCAUUGAAUAAAAUAAAUUAUCCUGAGAAAAUAAAAGAAAAAAGAUUAUUCUAAUAAUCCUGAGUGAAGGUAGACAAAUAAAAUAUGAUACAAACAUAACAUAUAAAUAAAUGGGGAAUGUAUACAUGGGACACAGAUGACGCCCCUGCUUGAAUAUCAUAUGGAGAAAUCAGUGAAGAAAGUAAAAGUGACACUACCCAAAUUUGUACUUGAUCUGAGUAUUGUGGUAAUAAGUACCGUACUUGGGCAUGUGUAGUCCGCAUUUCCCCCUUAAAUAUAUAGUUUGUACAAGGGGUGUGGACUAUACAGAACUAAAGACGGUUUUCAAAAUUUAUAUAUUUUUUUUUCUGCAUUAAUAAUGUAUAUUGGAGACGUUUAUUAUAUUUAUUUCAUUUAAUUCUAAUUCUUUUAUUCUUUUUUAACUUUUCUCUUCAAAAUUGAUUAUUCAAAGUAAAGGUGUGACAUCCUGCAUAGGUAAUCAAGAGGGGUAAUUAAGGAUUAAGUAUUGGUGUGUAGCAAUUAAUAAUGAUGUUAAGUUUUGACAGGUGUUAAAUAUUAUAAUCCCAGGCAAAAAAACCAAUAUGAUCAAUGAAAAGAUUAUAUAAGAUUAAAUAGUUUUAAAAUUUUGAUUACUGCUAAUUAAUUUAGAUACAUGUUUGAUCUCUUUUUUCUUUUGUUCCAUAAUAUUCAAAUUAUUUCUGUCUAUAUUAUAUAUCAGCUUGGACAU